UGUACAUCCUUGCCCCACACGUGCCCUCUCCCCCGCGCCACUCCCUCAGCUCCAAAAGGAAAGUUUCAAGGAUUGUAGAGGCCAGUCUGUAGGUCUUUCUGAUUUGAAUUAUUGAGAUAAGCAGUUUGUACAAUUUGCCGGGAAGAUAAAACAUGUCAAGAAAACUAAAGUGAAAUAACAAACUGAACACUCAACAGACACAUGGAUAAUCCUGCUUAGUAUUCUGAACUGGCGCAGAUUUCAUCUAUUUAGUGAAACCCAAGUGAAAAUAAUAAUUAUUUUCUUUUUCACGACCACCUCGCCGCUCGCUGCUUCCAGCGCCGCCAGGCAGGGGCUAGUCAAACGUUCCUCGACCCUCCCUCACCAGGCAGGGAAAACACAAGUUAUUCAGGACACACCAGCACCGCCACCGCCGCCACCACUGUACCAUCCUGCGGCGUUACCCAUAACCGGACGAAAGAGGUGCGGCAUGGCGGUCAACGUGCUGGUGCCUCUCCUCAUUCCCCUGGGCGAGCAGCUCACCAACGUCACCAAGCUGGUGGGCAGCGAUCCGGUGGAGUUCGAGCAGGCCGGAGUAUGAGGUGACGGUUCCUGAGAACACCCGCGCUGACCACCUGCUGCGGCUGUCUGCCAGGGUGCGGGGCCACAGGUGGGUUCCAUACUAAAAUGCGGGUGACAGCUGUGUUUGGAUCCACAUGCCUUAUAAUCAUAGGCCACCACAAUAACCCUUCAUCUCAGUUUCACAAA
This is a long non-coding RNA of Scylla paramamosain (green mud crab), 747 nucleotides long. RefSeq lists it as uncharacterized. The transcript is spliced from 3 exons. The record is from RefSeq and is a predicted model, not a curated record. NCBI's taxonomy places the organism in Eukaryota, Metazoa, Arthropoda, Malacostraca, Decapoda, Portunidae.